AGGAUAAACGCUGGCGGCGUGCAUGAGACAUGCAAGUCGAACGGACGAUCGAGGCUUGCCUUGAUCGUUAGUGGCGGACGGCUGAGUAACGCGUAGGUGACCUGCCCCGAAGUGGGGGAUAACUGCCCGAAAGGGUGGCUAAUACCGCAUGUGGUGGUUCGUUCAAUCGACCCAUCAAAGCAGCAAUGCGCUUCGGGAGGGCCUGCGUCCGAUUAGCUCGUUGGUCGGGUAACGGCUCACC
Molecule: ribosomal RNA, 241 nt
Filed under: uncultured soil bacterium
Lineage: Bacteria
Description: partial 16S ribosomal RNA
Rfam family: Bacterial small subunit ribosomal RNA
Source: RNAcentral